CGGGGCGUAGCGCAGUCCGGUAGCGCACUCGCUUUGGGAGCGAGGGGUCGCCGGUUCAAGUCCGGCCGCCCCGAC
This 75-nucleotide transfer RNA is filed under the name Thermoflexales bacterium. RNAcentral's name for it is "tRNA-Pro". It matches the Rfam family "tRNA". From Rfam's summary of the family: Transfer RNA (tRNA) molecules are approximately 80 nucleotides in length. Their secondary structure includes four short double-helical elements and three loops (D, anti-codon, and T loops). Lineage: Bacteria; Bacillati; Chloroflexota; Thermoflexia; Thermoflexales. The record is from RNAcentral.